GACGAACUUUGGCGGCGUGCUUAACACAUGCAAGUCGAACGGUAAGGCUCCAGCUUGCUGGGGUACACGAGUGGCGAACGGGUGAGUAACACGUGGGUGACCAGCCCUGCACUUCGGGAUAAGCCUGGGAAACUGGGUCUAAUACCGGAUAGGACCGCACCGUGAGGGUGUGGUGGAAAGUUUUUUCGGUGUGGGAUGGGCCCGCGGCCUAUCAGCUUGUUGGUGGGGUAAUGGCCUACCAAGGCGGCGACGGGUAGCCGGCCUGAGAGGGUGGACGGCCACAUUGGGACUGAGACACGGCCCAGACUCCUACGGGAGGCAGCAGUGGGGAAUAUUGCACAAUGGGCGGAAGCCUGAUGCAGCGACGCCGCGUGGGGGAUGACGGCCUUCGGGUUGUAAACUCCUUUCACCAUCGACGAAGGGUUUCUGACGGUAGAUGGAGAAGAAGCACCGGCUAACUACGUGCCAGCAGCCGCGGUAAUACGUAGGGUGCGAGCGUUGUCCGGAAUUACUGGGCGUAAAGAGCUCGUAGGUGGUUUGUCGCGUCGUCUGUGAAAUUCCGGGGCUUAACUCCGGGCGUGCAGGCGAUACGGGCAUAACUUGAGUACUGUAGGGGAGACUGGAAUUCCUGGUGUAGCGGUGAAAUGCGCAGAUAUCAGGAGGAACACCGGUGGCGAAGGCGGGUCUCUGGGCAGUAACUGACGCUGAGGAGCGAAAGCAUGGGGAGCGAACAGGAUUAGAUACCCUGGUAGUCCAUGCCGUAAACGGUGGGCGCUAGGUGUGGGUUUCCUUCCACGGGAUCCGUGCCGUAGCUAACGCAUUAAGCGCCCCGCCUGGGGAGUACGGCCGCAAGGCUAAAACUCAAAGGAAUUGACGGGGGCCCGCACAAGCGGCGGAGCAUGUGGAUUAAUUCGAUGCAACGCGAAGAACCUUACCUGGGCUUGACAUAUACAGGAUCGCGCCAGAGAUGGUGUUUCCCUUGUGGCUUGUAUACAGGUGGUGCAUGGUUGUCGUCAGCUCGUGUCGUGAGAUGUUGGGUUAAGUCCCGCAACGAGCGCAACCCUUGUCUUAUGUUGCCAGCACGUUGUGGUGGGGACUCGUAAGAAACUGCCGAGGUUAACUCGGAGGAAGGUGGGGAUGACGCCAAAUCAUCAUGCCCCUUAUGUCCAGGGCUUCACACAUGCUACAAUGGUCGGUACAGUGGGUUGCCAGUCCGUGAGGGCGAGCUAAUCCCGCAAAGCCGGUCUCAGUUCGGAUCGGGGUCUGCAACUCGACCCCGUGAAGUCGGAGUCGCUAGUAAUCGCAGAUCAGCAACGCUGCGGUGAAUACGUUCCCGGGCCU
RNAcentral lists this ribosomal RNA (1341 nucleotides) under uncultured bacterium. RNAcentral's name for it is "partial 16S ribosomal RNA". It matches the Rfam family "Bacterial small subunit ribosomal RNA", at positions 28 to 1381 of the family's 1533-position model. The record is from RNAcentral.